GUAGCAUAAUCACUUGUUCUUUAAAUGGGGACUAGUAUCAACGGCAUCACGAGGGUCCUACUGUCUCCUCUCUCCAAUCAAUGAAACUGAUCUCUCCGUGAAGAAGCGGGGAUUUAACUAUAAGACGAGAAGACCCCAUGGAGCUUUAAACCCGACUACACCUCCACCUCUUAUACCCACAUAAUCAACGGAAUACUGUACAUCGGUUUUGGGUUGGGGUGACCACGGAGCACAAACUAACCUCCAUGAUGAAUAAGACUAACCCUUUAUCUAAGAGACACAUCUCUAAGAAUUAGCACACUAACAUAAAAUGAUCCGAUAUUCGAUCAACGAACCAAGUUACCCUGGGGAUAACAGCG
RNAcentral lists this ribosomal RNA (359 nucleotides) under Spinomantis peraccae. RNAcentral describes it as "partial 16S ribosomal RNA". It matches the Rfam family "Bacterial large subunit ribosomal RNA", at positions 1956 to 2482 of the family's 2925-position model. The record is from RNAcentral. Lineage: Eukaryota; Metazoa; Chordata; Amphibia; Anura; Mantellidae.